AGUGGCGAACGGGUGAGUAACGCGUGGAUGAUCUACCUACGAGAUGGGGAUAACUAUUAGAAAUAGUAGCUAAUACCGAAUAAAGUCAAUUAAUUUGUUAAUUGAUGAAAGGAAGCCCUUAAAGCUUCGCUUGUAGAUGAGUCUGCGUCUUAUUAGCUAGUUGGUAGGGUAAAUGCCUACCAAGGCGAUGAUAAGUAACCGGCCUGAGAGGGUGAACGGUCACACUGGAACUGAGAUACGGUCCAGACUCCUACGGGAGGCAGCAGCUAAGAAUCUUCCGCAAUGGGCGAAAGCCUGACGGAGCGACACUGCGUGAAUGAAGAAGGUCGAAAGAUUGUAAAAUUCUUUUAUAAAUGAGGAAUAAGCUUUGUAGGAAAUGACUAAGUGAUGACGUUAAUUUAUGAAUAAGCCCCGGCUAAUUACGUGCCAGCAGCCGCGGUAAUACGUAAGGGGCGAGCGUUGUUCGGGAUUAUUGGGCGUAAAGGGUGAGUAGGCGGAUAUAYAAGUCUAUGCAUAAAAUACCACAGCUCAACUGUGGAACUAUGUUGGAAACUAUAUGUCUAGAGUCUGAUA
RNAcentral lists this ribosomal RNA (573 nucleotides) under Borreliella garinii. RNAcentral describes it as "bacterial SSU rRNA". Lineage: Bacteria; Pseudomonadati; Spirochaetota; Spirochaetia; Spirochaetales; Borreliaceae. The record is from RNAcentral.